Molecule: long non-coding RNA, 289 nt
Organism: Haliotis rubra (blacklip abalone)
Lineage: Eukaryota; Metazoa; Mollusca; Gastropoda; Lepetellida; Haliotidae
Exons: 3
Source: RefSeq, a predicted model, not a curated record
AUUGCUUUGACCUCAAAUAUCUGAUAACCAAUGUCGCUUCAACCUGGCAAAGUGUGACGCUGCCAAGAAUGGCACCCUCCUGUACAUUGUGUCGAAUACCGAUUCCUGCCCUGUACCCGUAGAGCUUCUGCUCAUGUGAUCACACAUAGUGGACGCUGCCCUGACUACUUCCCCGAUGGUGUCCUUGGUAGAUGAUCCCUCAACACUCCCAAGUUACAAUAAAACAUAGCACCGAUAAGCCCAUGUCAUUAUUCUUUGGGUAAAUAACAACAAGAGUCAUGUGCUAUUU